UACGUAGGUGGCAAGCGUUGUCCGGAUUUACUGGGUGUAAAGGGCGUGUAGACGGGACUUAAAGUCAGAUGUGAAAUACCGCAGCUUAACUGCGGGGGUGCAUUUGAAACUUAAGUUCUUGAGUGCAGGAGAGGAAAGCGGAAUUCCUAGUGUAGCGGUGAAAUGCGUAGAUAUUAGGAGGAACACCGGUGGCGAAGGCGGCUUUCUGGACUGUAACUGACGUUGAGGCGCGAAAGCGUGGGUAGCAAACAGG
RNAcentral lists this ribosomal RNA (253 nucleotides) under uncultured bacterium. RNAcentral's name for it is "partial 16S ribosomal RNA". It matches the Rfam family "Bacterial small subunit ribosomal RNA", at positions 524 to 776 of the family's 1533-position model. The record is from RNAcentral.